GGCUGAGUGGCGGCGGAGG
This 19-nucleotide unclassified non-coding RNA is filed under the name Chlamydomonas reinhardtii. RNAcentral's name for it is "small RNA Cre_1874". Lineage: Eukaryota; Viridiplantae; Chlorophyta; Chlorophyceae; Chlamydomonadales; Chlamydomonadaceae. The record is from RNAcentral.